RNAcentral lists this transfer RNA (64 nucleotides) under bovine gut metagenome. It matches the Rfam family "tRNA". From Rfam's summary of the family: Transfer RNA (tRNA) molecules are approximately 80 nucleotides in length. The record is from RNAcentral.
AAUGUAGCCAAGUGGUAAGGCAAAAGAUUCUGGAUCUUUGAUCGUUGGUUCGAAUCCAACUAUU